GGAGUAUAGCUCAGUGGUAGAACACAUGAUUAGCAUGCAUGAGCCUCUGGGUUCAGUCCCCAGCUCCA
Molecule: transfer RNA, 68 nt
Filed under: Marmota monax (woodchuck)
Lineage: Eukaryota; Metazoa; Chordata; Mammalia; Rodentia; Sciuridae
Description: tRNA.Ala
Source: RNAcentral